RNAcentral lists this ribosomal RNA (253 nucleotides) under uncultured bacterium. RNAcentral describes it as "partial 16S ribosomal RNA". It matches the Rfam family "Bacterial small subunit ribosomal RNA", at positions 524 to 776 of the family's 1533-position model. The record is from RNAcentral.
UACGUAGGGGGCUAGCGUUGUCCGGAUUUAUUGGGCGUAAAGAGCGUGUAGGCGGCUUGGCAAGUCUGUCGUGAAAACUCGAGGCUCAACCUCGAGCUGUCGGUGGAAACUGCUUGGCUAGAGUCCGGAAGAGGAGAGUGGAAUUCCUGGUGUAGCGGUGAAAUGCGCAGAUAUCAGGAAGAACACCUAUGGCGAAGGCAGCUCUCUGGGACGGUACUGACGCUGAGACGCGAAAGCGUGGGGAGCGAACAGG